This 73-nucleotide transfer RNA is filed under the name Mesocricetus auratus (golden hamster). It matches the Rfam family "tRNA". Rfam says of the family: Transfer RNA (tRNA) molecules are approximately 80 nucleotides in length. The record is from Rfam by way of RNAcentral. Lineage: Eukaryota; Metazoa; Chordata; Mammalia; Rodentia; Cricetidae.
GCAGAUAUGGCUCAGUGGUUAAGAGCACUGGUUGUUCUUCCAGAGGUCCUGAGUUCAAUUCCCAGCAACCACU